Molecule: ribosomal RNA, 492 nt
Filed under: uncultured bacterium
Lineage: Bacteria
Description: partial 16S ribosomal RNA
Rfam family: Bacterial small subunit ribosomal RNA
Source: RNAcentral
AGUGAACGCUGGCGGUAGGCCUAACACAUGCAAGUCGAACGGCAGCACAGUAAGAGCUUGCUCUUACGGGUGGCGAGUGGCGGACGGGUGAGGAAUACAUCGGAAUCUACUUUUUCGUGGGGGAUAACGUAGGGAAACUUACGCUAAUACCGCAUACGACCUACGGGUGAAAGCAGGGGAUCUUCGGACCUUGCGCGAUUGAAUGAGCCGAUGUCGGAUUAGCUAGUUGGCGGGGUAAAGGCCCACCAAGGCGACGAUCCGUAGCUGGUCUGAGAGGAUGACCGGCCACACUGGAACUGAGACAGGUCCCAGCCCCCUCGGGGGGGCACAAGUGGGGAUUAUGGGACAAUGCGCGAAAGCCUGAUCCAGCCAUCCCGGGUGGGUGAAGAAGCCCUUGGGUUUUUAAGCCCUUUUGGUUGGGAAAGAAAAGCAGCAGUUUAAUCCCCCGUUUUUCGCACGGUCCCCAAAAAAAAACCCCCGCCUAACUUCGUC